This 468-nucleotide ribosomal RNA is filed under the name uncultured bacterium. Its description in RNAcentral is "partial 16S ribosomal RNA". It matches the Rfam family "Bacterial small subunit ribosomal RNA", at positions 28 to 507 of the family's 1533-position model. The record is from RNAcentral.
GACGAACGCUGGCGGCGUGCUUAACACAUGCAAGUCGAACGGAAAGGCCCUGCUUUUGUUGGGUGCUCGAGUGGCGAACGGGUGAGUAACACGUGAGUAACCUGCCCUUGACUUUGGGAUAACUUCAGGAAACUGGGGCUAAUACCGGAUAGGAGCUCCUGCUGCAUGGUGGGGGUUGGAAAGUUUCGGCGGUUGGGGAUGGACUCGCGGCUUAUCAGCUUGUUGGUGGGGUAGUGGCUUACCAAGGCUUUGACGGGUAGCCGGCCUGAGAGGGUGACCGGCCACAUUGGGACUGAGAUACGGCCCAGACUCCUACGGGAGGCAGCAGUGGGGGAUAUUGCACAAUGGGCGGAAGCCUGAUGCAGCAACGCCGCGUGCGGGAUGACGGCCUUCGGGUUGUAAACCGCUUUCGCCUGUGACGAAGCGUGAGUGACGGUAAUGGGUAAAGAAGCACCGGCUAACUACGUG